AUUGGUCUUAGGCUAAGCCAUGCACGUCUAAGUACAAACUAAAUGAUGGUGAAACUGCAAAUGGCUCAUUACAACGGUUAUGAUGUACCCGGGAGUUCCGAUGGAUAUUUCCAGUAACACUAGAACUAAUACAUGUCCCUGCGUUUAUUAGUUUCGCACAGUCCGUCGCUGAGUCAUGGUAAACAGUUGAUCGACUCGACGUCCCGGAACAGUUUCCGCCCCAUCAGCUUCGAUGGUUGGGUAUUGGCCUACCAUUGCAACAACGGGUAACGAGGAAUUAGGGUUUGAUUUCGGAGAGGGAGCCUGAGAAACGGCUACCACAUCUACGGAUGGCAGCAGGCGCGCAAAUUACCCAAUGCAGACACUGUGAGGUAGUGACGAGAAAUAAUAAAGCGGGACUUCUGUUUCGCUAUUAUAAUGAGGAAUAACCAAAGGUCAUUCCGAUUAGCAACUGAUGGGAAAGUCUGGUGCCAGCAGCCGCGGUAAUACCAGCGUCAGUA
This 500-nucleotide ribosomal RNA is filed under the name uncultured Myrionecta. RNAcentral describes it as "SSU rRNA". It matches the Rfam family "Eukaryotic small subunit ribosomal RNA", at positions 32 to 596 of the family's 1831-position model. Lineage: Eukaryota; Ciliophora; Litostomatea; Cyclotrichida; Mesodiniidae. The record is from RNAcentral.